GUGGGGAAUCUUGCGCAAUGGGGGCAACCCUGACGCAGCCAUACCGCGUGUGUGAUGAAGGUCUUCGGAUUGUAAAGCACUUUCAGUGGGGACGACAAUGACGGUACCCACAGAAGAAGUCACGGCUAACUUCGUGCCAGCAGCCGCGGUAAUACGAAGGUGGCGAAUGUUGCUCGGAUUCACUGGGCGUAAAGCGUCGGUAGGAGGCUUGUUAAGUCAGGUGUGAAAGCCCCGCGCUCAACGUGGGAAUUGCACUUGAAACUAACUGGCUUGAAGGUAUGAGAGGAAGGCGGAAUAACUGGUGUAGAGGUAAAAUUCAUAGAUAUCAGUUGGAACACCCAUGGCGAAGGCAGCUUUCUGGCAUAUUCUUGACUCUGAGCGACGACAGCGUGGGGAGCAAACAGGAUUAGAUACCCUUGUAGUCC
Molecule: ribosomal RNA, 425 nt
Filed under: uncultured bacterium
Lineage: Bacteria
Description: bacterial SSU rRNA
Rfam family: Bacterial small subunit ribosomal RNA
Source: RNAcentral